Molecule: non-coding RNA, 875 nt
Organism: Sus scrofa (pig)
Lineage: Eukaryota; Metazoa; Chordata; Mammalia; Artiodactyla; Suidae
Source: RefSeq, a predicted model, not a curated record
GGAAAGUCAGUAUUGGGUGGGAGAAAUGUGCCAGCAUCCAAGAAAUUCAAGCAGAUUCUAAAAGUUGGGAAAGAUCUAUUUUCACAUGCAGUGUUGAAUAAUCAAUUAUCACACCAUACCCUGCCCACAGAGAUGAUAAAGAAGUGACCCAGGAGGAUACUAUGUUACAGAUCCACCACAUGUUCAGACAGCCCUGAGGUGAUCUUUUAAGGGCCACUAGCAGGGAGAGACACAGAGGUAACACAGGAAAGGUCAUAUAAAGCCAAAGGCAGAUUAGAGUGAUGCACCUACAAGCCAAGACGUGUCAUGGAUUGGAGUUAGCCAUCAGAAUCUAGGAGAGAGGCAUGGAAUGGAUUCUUCCUCAGGGCUUUCAAAAGGAACCAUCAAGAUGACAUCUUGAUUUUAGACUUUUAUCAUCCUGGAUUGAGAGAGAAUAAUUUCUAUUAUUUGAGGUCACCAAAUGUGUGGUAAUUUUUUAUGGCAGACCUAGGAAACUACAACAAAACUGAAAAAUUGCAGGAGAGGGAAUAUAGAUUAGUAUAUUGAGUGAGAAACUCCUGGGGACUACGGCCUUUGGGUGGUCCUUACAUUUUUGUGUUUUACCUCCAGGAACUCUAUUAGGUUACUAUGGUGAAGAACCAAGUAAAACAUUCAUAUUUAUGGUAGGGCAAAUGAAAAGUUACCAUUUUGAAACAGAACCAUAACAUUAUCUAUAAAAAUGGCCUUCCCAGCAAAGGAAAAUACUUCAUUAAAGUCUUAUAUGCUAUGGAGGGAGGGGAAUUAUCUCUAGAACCCCCUAGCAUUUUGAUUUUUGCAUGUGUGUGUUUAGGGCUGCACCUGCAGCAUAUGGAGGAUUUCAGAGUGGGGCUUGAAUC